AGGAAACAGUAGAAGAAGAAACAUGAUCCUUAUCUCCCAUUUUACUUUCUACAGGUAUCUUGUUGCCUAGCGAAGCUCUUGCAUUUUUAAAGAUAAAUAUUUAUAUACGUAGCGUAGGAGGCUGACAGAAAAUACCAGGCUUUAAUUCGCACCUCUGUGGAAAACACCGGCCCUGAGAAACAGACCAAGACAAUGGAUGAAGCCUGCAUCCAAGCACAGGGGGCAGGACAAACUCCAGCAACUUCUUGAUGAGUUUAUGAGGAAGCCUUGAGCACGCACCUGCGUUAUGGAUGACAUUCAAGAGCAGAGAGCCUGUGCAUCCCUGAAAUGGUCCCGUGACAAGGAGCUAGCAUAGAG
This 357-nucleotide long non-coding RNA is filed under the name Struthio camelus australis. Its description in RNAcentral is "lncRNA (ENSSCUG00000006252.1)". The record is from RNAcentral. Lineage: Eukaryota; Metazoa; Chordata; Aves; Struthioniformes; Struthionidae.